This 253-nucleotide ribosomal RNA is filed under the name uncultured bacterium. RNAcentral's name for it is "partial 16S ribosomal RNA". It matches the Rfam family "Bacterial small subunit ribosomal RNA", at positions 524 to 776 of the family's 1533-position model. The record is from RNAcentral.
UACGUAGGGGGCGAGCGUUAUUCGGAAUUAUUGGGCGUAAAGGGCGCGUAGGCGGCUUGAUGUGUCAAAGGUGAAAUCCCUCGGCUCAACUGAGGAACUGCCUUUGAAACUGUCUGGCUUGAGGCCGGGAGAGGGUAGCGGAAUUCCCAGUGUAGCGGUGAAAUGCGUAGAUACUGGGAGGAACACCGGUGGCGAAGGCGGCUACCUGGACCGGUUCUGACGCUGAUGCGCGAAAGCGUGGGGAGCGAACCGG